GACGUAGGAGGCGAGCGUUGUCCGGAUUCAUUGGGCGGAAAGAGCACGCAGGCGGUUUGGCAAGUCGGAUGUGAAAACCCGAAGCUCAACUUCGGGCCUGCAUCCGAAACUGCCCGACUAGAGGUAGGUAGGGGAGAUCGGAAUUCCUGGUGUAGCGGUGAGAUGCGCAGAUAUCAGGAGGAACACCGGUGGCGAAGGCGGAUCUCUGGGCCUUACCUGACGCUCAGGUGCGAAAGCUAGGGGAGCGAACAGG
Molecule: ribosomal RNA, 253 nt
Filed under: uncultured bacterium
Lineage: Bacteria
Description: partial 16S ribosomal RNA
Rfam family: Bacterial small subunit ribosomal RNA
Source: RNAcentral